AGGGCUACCUGACUGUCCCACAAACACAGACAGCACAGAGGAAGUCUGCGGGAUGGGAGAGAGAACAGCUCCCCUAACUAGUUGGAGGACGUGUGGUGGCCUAGAAGGAGGCUAACUAAAGGCUGUUCCGGCUCACCUAAUAUGCUGCUCACCCGGAACUCUGUGGAACCAUGGAAAAUAUGCCCCGGCUCUCCUAUCAGGAAUCAGCUGAGAUCUGGCUGCCUCUUGUGAGACUAGAGCCCUGGAUUCAAUUGAAGAACAUUAUGUUGGAGAGUAGAGAAACUUCUAGACUGUGAAGACAUUUGGGAAGGAAUAGUCUGUUUCGACUUGAAUGAAGAAAGACAUGGGGAAGGCUUGCCAGCCCAGCUCAUCUACUGUCUGGUAGCAAACAAGUCCUCUGUUGCCACUACCUAGGACAGUCUUCCCCGCUCUGCCCCCGUCCGGGUUCCGCACCCUUCCCUGCCUCACCCUGCCUCCUGUGCCCACCUCGCCUCUGGACCCAGAGAUUCUUCUUGUUUGCUCUGUCCUCCCUCCAGCAGGAUAUGGGGUGAAUAGUUAACUACACUCGGGUUGAAUGAGAUCUUGAUUUUUUUACUUCUGUUCCCCGGAAAGAGGUCAGUCUCUGUGCAUGGCACCCGGCCUGGAAGCAGCACAAGACUCCAGAGUGAUCCAAGAUCCGCCCUGAUGGUCCUGUGGGCCCCUUGGAGGUCAGCGCUGAGGAGCAGCCAGCGCUGGAGCACACGCAGGUGUGCGUUUGCAUAGGCAGAGGUGAGCCCACUGCUCGAUCCAUCUUCUGUUGGCACAAAUGCAAGGAGCCAUGAAGACUCCCUUCCGAGGUUGCAGUAGGAGAUCAACGUAUCCAGAGGCUUCAUGACCAAGCAGCUAAUUCUGUUGGUGGUGCCCCCAAGGGCCUCUUUCCUCUACUCUGUGAUGAUGACACACACAGCCGUCGGGAACUGGAGCCUUCUCAAUUCCAUCGUCUAUGGCCCCCCAUUUGCGUAGUUGGAAAUCCUUCCUGAUCAUCCCUUGAUUCCCCCUUCUUGACUACACUCAAAGAUGUUUGAGCUCUUCUGUUUGCAAAAUGGAUGGACAGUUUGUUUACAUAAAACAAUCCAAGCUUCCUCGUGCUGUAUCUGGUGUAUUUGUAAGGCUCUUCGGUGACUUUAAAAUGGAGUGUUGACUUUGGCCUCUUAGAUUCUCCAUGGUGGAAUCGAGAAUACCUCUUGAAGAUUUUCAGUGCCGCUAAAAUGUUAAGAAGGCUUGCAGACAUCCCCUUCCUCCCUCUUCCCCCACCUCCUCCUUUCCUAAGCAGCUUCUGUUGUAUAAAUCCCUUCAUUUAAACCCC
Rattus rattus (black rat) is the source of this 1345-nucleotide long non-coding RNA. RefSeq lists it as uncharacterized. Lineage: Eukaryota; Metazoa; Chordata; Mammalia; Rodentia; Muridae. The transcript has 2 exons. The record is from RefSeq and is a predicted model, not a curated record.